This 406-nucleotide ribosomal RNA is filed under the name uncultured bacterium. RNAcentral describes it as "partial 16S ribosomal RNA". It matches the Rfam family "Bacterial small subunit ribosomal RNA", at positions 30 to 526 of the family's 1533-position model. The record is from RNAcentral.
AUUGAACGCUGGCGGCAGGCCUAACACAUGCAAGUCGAACGAGUGGCGGACGUGUGAGUAAUGUCUGGGAAACUGCCUGAUGGAGGGGGAUAACUACUGGAAACGGUAGCUAAUACCGCAUACCAUCGGAUGUGCCCAGAUGGGAUUAGCUUGUAGGUGGGGUAAAGGGUCACCUAGGCGACGAUCCCUAGCUGGUCUGAGAGGAUGACAAGCCACACUGGAACUGAGACAAGGUCCAGACUCCUACGGGAGGAAGCAGUGGGGAAUAUUGCAAAAUGGGAGAAAGCUUGAUGAAGCCAUGCCGCGUGUAUGAAGAAGGCAUUCGGGUUGUAAAGUAAUUUCAGCGGGGAGGGGUUACCCGCAGAAGAAGCACCGGCUAACUCCGUGCCAGCCGCCGCGGUAAUUC